CCUCCUACGGGGGGCAGCAGUGGGGAAUAUUGCACAAUGGGGGAAACCCUGAUGCAGCGACGCCGCGUGAGUGAAGAAGUAUUUCGGUAUGUAAAGCUCUAUCAGCAGGGAAGAGAAUGACGGUACCUGAGUAAGAAGCCCCGGCUAACUACGAGCCAGCAGCCGCGGUAAUACGUAGGGGGCAAGCGUUAUCCGGAUUUACUGGGUGUAAAGGGAGCGUAGACGGCGAAGAAAGUCUGAAGUGAAAGCCCGCGGC
Molecule: ribosomal RNA, 256 nt
Filed under: uncultured bacterium
Lineage: Bacteria
Description: partial 16S ribosomal RNA
Rfam family: Bacterial small subunit ribosomal RNA
Source: RNAcentral